RNAcentral lists this ribosomal RNA (497 nucleotides) under uncultured bacterium. RNAcentral describes it as "partial 16S ribosomal RNA". It matches the Rfam family "Bacterial small subunit ribosomal RNA", at positions 28 to 507 of the family's 1533-position model. The record is from RNAcentral.
GAUGAACGCUGGCGGCGUGCCUAAUACAUGCAAGUCGAGCGAACAGACGAGGAGCUUGCUCCUCUGACGUUAGCGGCGGACGGGUGAGUAACACGUGGAUAACCUACCUAUAAGACUGGGAUAACUUCGGGAAACCGGAGCUAAUACCGGAUAAUAUAUUGAACCGCAUGGUUCAAUAGUGAAAGACGGUUUUGCUGUCACUUAUAGAUGGAUCCGCGCCGCAUUAGCUAGUUGGUAAGGUAACGGCUUACCAAGGCAACGAUGCGUAGCCGACCUGAGAGGGUGAUCGGCCACCCUGGAGCUGAAACACGGUCCAGACUACUACGGGAGGCAGCAGUAGGGAAUCUUCCGCAGUGGGCGAAAGCCUGACGGAGCAACGCCGCGUGAGUGAUGAAGGUCUUCGGAUCGUAAAACUCUGUUAUUAGGGAAGAACAAAUGUGUAAGUAACUAUGCACGUCUUGACGGUACCUAAUCAGAAAGCCACGGCUAACUACGUG